RNAcentral lists this ribosomal RNA (512 nucleotides) under uncultured bacterium. RNAcentral's name for it is "partial 16S ribosomal RNA". It matches the Rfam family "Bacterial small subunit ribosomal RNA", at positions 28 to 507 of the family's 1533-position model. The record is from RNAcentral.
GAUGAACGCUGGCGGCGUGCCUAUUACAUGCAAGUCGAACGAAACUUCUUUAUCACCGAGUGCUUGCACUCACCGAUAAAGAGUUGAGUGGCGAACGGGUGAGUAACACGUGGGCAACCUGCCCAAAAGAGGGGGAUAACACUUGGAAACAGGUGCUAAUACCGCAUAACCAUAGUUACCGCAUGGUAACUAUGUAAAAGGUGGCUAUACUACCGCUUUUGGAUGGGCCCGCGGCGCAUUAGCUAGUUGGUAGGGUAAAGGCUUACCAAGGCAAUGAUGCGUAGCCGAAUUGAGAGGGUGAUCGGCCACAUUGGGACUGAGACACGGCCCAAACUCCUACGGGAGGCAGCAGUAGGGAAUCUUCCACAAUGGGCGAAAGCCUGAUGGAGCAACGCCGCGUGGGUGAAGAAGGUCUUCGGAUCGUAAAACCCUGUUGUUAGAGAAGAAAGUGCGUGAGAGUAACUGUUCACGUUUCGACGGUAUCUAACCAGAAAGCCACGGCUAACUACGUG